RNAcentral lists this ribosomal RNA (325 nucleotides) under uncultured eukaryote. Its description in RNAcentral is "partial 18S ribosomal RNA". It matches the Rfam family "Eukaryotic small subunit ribosomal RNA", at positions 1470 to 1796 of the family's 1831-position model. The record is from RNAcentral.
CCCUUAGAUGUUCUGGGCCGCACGCGCGCUACACUGAUGCAUUCAACGAGCCUAUCCUUGACCGACAGGUCCGGGUAAUCUUUGAAUCUGCAUCGUGACGGGGAUAGAUUAUUGCAAUUAUUAAUCUUCAACGAGGAAUGCCUAGUAGGCGCAAGUCAUCAGCUUGCGUCGAUUACGUCCCUGCCCUUUGUACACACCUCCCGUCGCUCCUACCGAUUGGGUGUGCUGGUGAAAUGUUCGGAUCGGCCGUUUGUCGCGGUUUCCGCGUCAUGUGGCUGAGAAGUUCAUUAAACCCUCCCACCGAGAGGAAGGAGAAGUCGUAACA